AGAUGUGAGGGUGAUAAGACUAUGACAUAUCUUACCCCAUAGAUUGAUCAACCAGAGUUGAUUUGUCUGAUCUAGCUAGCUAACUGGGUGUUCCCUUCCUCCUUCACCAUUCCUUCCUAAAAUUGUGUAUUCAAAGUGGACAAUCUUUCCUGAUAAACAAGGAAAAAAUUUUGACCAAGAGUAUACAAGGUUAUACGAGAACUGCCAAACAAGUUCUCACAAACACCCUUCAAGUUGACCCAUAAAAUUAAACAUCAUAUAAAUCACAGUUUUCCCUUUGGCAUCAUGAAGACUG
Molecule: unclassified non-coding RNA, 295 nt
Organism: Octodon degus (degu)
Lineage: Eukaryota; Metazoa; Chordata; Mammalia; Rodentia; Octodontidae
Gene: 7SK
Rfam family: 7SK RNA
About the family: 7SK was discovered as an abundant small nuclear RNA in the mid-70s but a possible function has only recently been suggested. Two independent studies have found that 7SK RNA binds the CDK9/cyclin T complex (known as elongation factor P-TEFb).
Source: Ensembl